GACCUCCCAUUUUUGCUUCUUUUCAUCUCUCUCAAAAUUCCAACCACCACCGCCUGCCGCCGCUGGAGCAGACAACUAAAUGACCAUUGAUCUCCCUAACCAGCUCUUCUCUCUCCCCAUAUCCCUCUAUUUGGGGAACGCCGCCUUCCACCGAUGAUGCCACUAGUCCGUCGAACCAAUGAAAACCAACGCCCCGCACCACUGGCCGGCGAAAUCAACCGGCGAACCCCACUGCUCUAGCCGCGCUGCCUCUUCACCUAAAACCCUUCAUAUCUCCUCCUUACACCGCUGCCAGCUACCACUAGACAAUGAAACCAAGCCGCCAACAAAACUAGCCGCGCCUUCCGCCUCUUCUCCCUCACGCCGCCACUCCAAACUCUGUCUAAUUAACACCGAAAAAGAGUAAAGUCCAUGAUGAAUUCUCAGAAUCUGUCCUUGGUUUGUUGAUUUGUUUCAGUUUCCUUCUUCUACUCUUUUUUCUUCUCACUGAUUUUUAGAUUCGAAAUAGGCAUAGUUUGGCUUUGAAUUUUGAGUUGAUUCUUAAUAUUUCAUGUUUGUUUAUGUAUUUAGAUCUACAUACAUAAAAAAAGCCCAAUUUCUUUGAACUUCCAUUAAUCCUAGAUUUCUCUAAAUUUAGGACUGAUUUUCUAGAACUUGCUAUUCUGUCUCAAUUUCGUGAGUUUGUUCUUUAAUUUCAUAAGAUUCAAAAUUCGUGGACAUCUAUUAAUGGUUCCCUUCUAGAAUUUACGAAUUCUCGUUCCUUGAUAUUUUUAUAUUGUUAUGUGAAUUAUUCUGGUCCUUUGAUACAUUUGAUACAUUUGAAUUAGUUGUUUAGUUUCUUACACUUCACAUAUUUUCAAAUACAUCUUGAUCAGUUUGUUUCACUUUAAUUCUUUCUGAAUUAGAAUCACAGUGAGAGUGUGACUGGCUCUGAAUACCGCUUAUGGUAAGUCAAUAGAUAUAAUUUCUUGAUUAGAUCCUCUUGAUAUGGUGGUAUUUUAAUUGAUUUUGGUUGCUAAUUGAUCCCUUUCCUUUACCUUGCUUUGUUACUUGACUAUUCAUGGAAACUUUCUUCUUUGUUAUUGAUGUCUUUUCCUUUGUAACAUUUGGCAGUUUUAGUAUUUGGUUAAUUAUGAAAAGUUUGAUAUGCAGUUUUAGUACUUGGACCUUGAUUGAUUUUCUGCCUACGUGCUUAAGGAAAAUAUCCUCACUAAUUGAUUUUCUUUUCCUUUACUCCUUUAGGAUCACUUGAUUAAUUAUGGCAACUAAGUGUAAUUUUUUUUCUUUAAUUGAUUCAUUUUAUUAAAAGAAAAAGAAAUUUUCAUUACUUGAUCUUGGAAUAUCUUUGUUUCGUCUUUAUUUCCAUAAUUAAUAUUCUCAAUAUUCCCCUUUCCUUUAAUGCAUUACCACUCUUUUAUUAUAUAAACACAACCCUUUUCUUCUAUUAGGGACAACUUUUUAACUCCUAUUUUCUCUAUACAAAAAAUACCAGCUUUGAACGAUACUUCCUCUUCUCUUUAACAACUUUUCAUCCUCUACCUCUCUCUUUAACAUCUUUGAGCAUUGCACACUCUCUCUCUAGAAUACUUUAAAGUUCUCAUAAUCAAGGGAGGGAUUUUGAUUUCUAUGUGCUAUUUUAUUGAUACUACUCUCCAUUUUGUGUGCUACUUCAAAGUUCAAUUUUUCUUCUAUUAAUUUUGCUAUUAACAGGUUAGUCUCUAUCGACGUGUAUUUUAAUUCUUAUAUGGUGAUUCUUUAUAAUCUAAACUUGGAAAGCAUGCAGAUAUUCUGUAUUUGUGUUCCUUAGAAUCAUGUGGCUACCACAUGUCUACCAAAAUAUGUAUGUUUGAUUUUUUGUACUUGAAUAUUUUUGCUAUAUUUAACAGGUUCUUGGAUCAAAAGUAAGAGAAGAGUCAUUGUGGAAUUUGGGUUAUUUGGAGAUCUUCUAAUCUUAAUUUUUUUGUUAUUUAUUAUCUUGAUUUGUAAUAACUAUCGUAUAAACGCUAUGUAUGAUAAGACUAUGGGGACUGCUUAUGGGGCCCCGAGACUAUGUGAUUUGAAUAAAUUAUUUUAUCACUUAAAGCAAAAUAUUUUAGGAUUAUUAAUUAAUUUGUUUUAUCACCUAUAAAUCAUGUUUUUGAUGUAUUAAUUAAUUUUCGACAUAUAAAAUUAAGUUUGGACGAGUCAAAUGAAUUAAUAGCAUGUUUGAUUAAUUUUCGUCAUAUUAUAAUUAAGCUUCAACAUGUCUAUCUAAUUUUUCUGCAUGUUUAAAUUAAUUUUCAGCACAUAUAAAGUAUAUAUUUUCCAGCAUAUAAUUAUUUUUCAGCAUUGGAAUUUAUUUUCCAGCCCAUUUUAAAAUUAAUUUUCAGCAUUUUAAUUAGGCUUAGCAUAUUUUGGUUCAAACCGAAAAAUCAAACUGAAAUUUAAUUUGGUUUCGAUUUUUUGGUUUUUAGAUUGGUUUCGAUUUGUAAUUUUUAAAAUUCAGUUUAAAGGUUUGGGUUUUGGUUUUUCAAAAAAAUAUUUCGGUUAAACCAAAAAACUAAAAUUUUAUAAAUUAAUAUAUAAUAUAUAUAUUUUAUUAUAUAUAUUCAGUAAUUACAAUUACAGAUUCACAAUUCACAAACCACAUUAUAUACGUAAUACGCCGCAGCCAACCCUAGUCCCUAAAUCCCUAUUACCUAUGUAGGCUGCAGUUACGCCUUAUUCCACCUGCGAGUCGGCGACGGCUGACGGUGAGUGUUCCAUCGUACAAUCCACCGAAGGCCAGGCAACGAUCGAUGAGCAAGCGCGGCAACCCUAGUCCCUAAAUCCCUAUUACCUAUGCAGGCUGCAGUUACGCCUUAUUCCACUUGCGAGUCGGCGACGGCUGACGGCGAGUGUUCCUUCGUACAAUCCACCGAAGGCCAGGCAACGAUCGAUGAGCAAGCAUUCCUUCGUUCUACACUUCUACUAGUUGUGGGCUUGUGGCUAUCCACCGGAGGAG
RNAcentral lists this long non-coding RNA (2983 nucleotides) under Capsicum annuum. RNAcentral's name for it is "long non-coding RNA (CANN_LNC002451)". The record is from RNAcentral. Lineage: Eukaryota; Viridiplantae; Streptophyta; Magnoliopsida; Solanales; Solanaceae.